Molecule: long non-coding RNA, 817 nt
Organism: Amphiprion ocellaris (clown anemonefish)
Lineage: Eukaryota; Metazoa; Chordata; Actinopteri; Pomacentridae
Source: Ensembl
GUGUGCGUGUUGUUGUUCCAGGUGUGUGUGUUGUUGUAGCGUGUGUAGGUGUGUGUGUUGUUGUUCCAGGUGUGUGUGUUGUUGUAGUGUGUGUAGGUGUGUGUGUUGUUGUUCCAGGUGUGUGUGUUGUUGUAGCGUGUGUAGGUGUGUGUGUUGUUGUUCCAGGUGUGUGUGUUGUUGUAGCGUGUGUAGGUGUGUGUGUGGUGGUUCUGGCCCGGUGCUGCAGGCUGAUGGACUGGGUCAGGGAUCCUUUCUGAGGGGAGAAGCGGGGCAGGUCCAUCAGCUCCACAUAUUCCCCCUCAGAGUCCUCUCCAUCGCUGCUGGCUGCUGAUUGGUCAGUCUUGGUUAGAGGGAGGAGCUUCCCGUCCUGACCUGAGGACAGGCGUGAGGAAUUCAUUAAACCGUCCUGGUCCUCCCUGGGGGGGCGGGGCCGGCUGAUGAAUUGUGGGUAGACCAGGUCCUCCCAGGGGACCCUGAAGACGUCUCCGUGGGCGGCCAGAAGGAGGCGCUCCAGCCGAGGAGCUCCUCGCCGCUCCCUGUCCCUGUUGACCGAGUCCAGCCAGGCCAUGCUGAAGAGCGAGCGCAGCGCUAACUGCGACACCUCCUGCUGCUCCACAUGACGGCCGGCCCAACUGCACAGGAGCAGGCGGGGCUCCGAGGCUCCGCCCCCGUAGGAGGCGCCGUGGGAACGAGGAGGAGGCGGGGCUACGGCAGGAGACACCAGCAGGUAGAAGUCACCUGGACGGAGGAGGCGCUGGUCCAGAGGACAGAGCUGGACCACUAUCUUCUCAUGGACACACAGGGGCCAACCUUCAUG